Molecule: long non-coding RNA, 335 nt
Filed under: Medicago truncatula (barrel medic)
Lineage: Eukaryota; Viridiplantae; Streptophyta; Magnoliopsida; Fabales; Fabaceae
Description: long non-coding RNA (MTRU_LNC008767)
Source: RNAcentral
GUAAAUAGAAUACUACUAAUAUAGUAGUAACAUUAUAAUAACAUACCAAAUUUAAGAUGUGUCCACCAUGAUGGUUAAUUUAGAGUACAAAAUAUGGUUGGAAACUAAAACAAAAUAUUCAGAUUUUGUGAUCAAAACACAAACUCUACAACACAGAUUUUAAAGUACUCAUGCAUUACGGAUUACGAAAUUACAUUUCCAAAACUACCUGAUCAUCUUCAAUUUCAAAACUAACCACUCCCUCCUGUUGUUUACUGGAUGCGGACAUGCUUGACAUACAUUUUGGUCGGUGGAUCCUCCAAAUCAAAGAUCAAUAAGUCAUUCUCCUGUAAGUC